AGCUGUAAUGAAUGAGGACUCUAAUGUACUGUACAGGUGAAACCCAAUCACAGGGCUUUAUUACAAUAACCAGCAGGAAGCCAAAAACAUCCACCAUAAUGAAGAAAAUAAUCUUAAUGAUCAGAUGAGCUCUGACAGUCUUACAGCACAGCAUUAUAGUAUGGUUAUGGUAUAUUAUGGUUUCAUAUGUUUUCAGUGUUCAUGAACUGAUGUCAUUUUAAUGCUGUUCUCAUCCUCUGACACUGACAGAUAGGAGGAGCCUGUGGAGAUCUGAUAUAGAGCAAACUAAACUCUUUUUCUUCCUACAGUGCAAACAUGACGAUCCUUUGUGUUCUUCUUCUGCUAUUGUUGAUGAAAAGGGAGACAUUUGCACAGUCAAUAACACCGCUGGAAAACAAGGUGCUUCAAUCUGCAGGAGAUGAAGUCACUCUGUCCUGUAAAUAUGAUGGAGCAGUAACUAACCUGCACUGGUAUCGUCAGUAUCCGGGAUCCAAACCAGAGUUCCUCGCAUACAUUUAUCCACAUGGAACCCCAAGUGACCCUCUUCCUCCUCGUCUUUUUCCUAAAGUUGAUAAAAACAACAAUCUUGUGUAUCUGGAGAUCUCCUCUGCUGAAGUAUCAGACUCUGCACUGUAUUACUGCGCUCUGAUGCCCACAGUGACAGGAAACACAUCAUCCCUGUACAAAAACAUCCUCAACAAUAAAUCUCAUAAACUAAAGUGCAUCACAAAACACAUAAAAUAUCAUAGAUCAGUUCAGACAGUGGUGGUAUGA
Molecule: non-coding RNA, 774 nt
Organism: Megalobrama amblycephala (Wuchang bream)
Lineage: Eukaryota; Metazoa; Chordata; Actinopteri; Cypriniformes; Xenocyprididae
Source: the annotation of a RefSeq genome assembly